RNAcentral lists this ribosomal RNA (1759 nucleotides) under human gut metagenome. Its description in RNAcentral is "bacterial LSU rRNA". It matches the Rfam family "Bacterial large subunit ribosomal RNA", at positions 1185 to 2925 of the family's 2925-position model. The record is from RNAcentral.
AAUAUAGCACCGAAGCUGCGGCAUCAGACGAAAGUCUGUUGGGUAGGGGAGCGUUCUGUAAGCGGAUGAAGGUGAAUCGAGAGGUUUGCUGGACGUAUCAGAAGUGCGAAUGCUGACAUAAGUAACGAUAAAACGGGUGAAAAACCCGUUCGCCGGAAGACCAAGGGUUCCUGUCCAACGUUAAUCGGGGCAGGGUGAGUCGGCCCCUAAGGCGAGGCUGAAAAGCGUAGUCGAUGGGAAACGGGUUAAUAUUCCCGUACUUGGAUAAACUGCGAUGUGGGGACGGAGCAGGUUAGGUUAUCGCACUGUUGGAUAUGUGCGUUUAAGUUUGUAGGUGGGAAGUUUAGGCAAAUCCGGACUUCUAUUCAACACUGAGAGAUGAUGACGAGGCUCUACGGAGCUGAAGUAACCGAUACCACACUUCCAGGAAAAGCCACUAAGCUUCAGGUUUAUCUAAACCGUACUGAAAACCGACACAGGUGGUCAGGUAGAGAAUACUCAGGCGCUUGAGAGAACUCGGGUGAAGGAACUAGGCAAAAUAGCACCGUAACUUCGGGAGAAGGUGCGCCGGCGUAGAUUGUAGUCCCUUGCGGAUGAAGGUUGAACCGGUCGAAGAUACCAGCUGGCUGCAACUGUUUAUUAAAAACACAGCACUCUGCAAACACGAAAGUGGACGUAUAGGGUGUGAUGCCUGCCCGGUGCUGGAAGGUUAAUUGAUGGUGUAAUCGAAAGAGAAGCUCCUGAUCGAAGCCCCAGUAAACGGCGGCCGUAACUAUAACGGUCCUAAGGUAGCGAAAUUCCUUGUCGGGUAAGUUCCGACCUGCACGAAUGGCAUAAUGAUGGCCAGGCUGUCUCCACCCGAGACUCAGUGAAAUUGAAAUCGCCGUGAAGAUGCGGUGUACCCGCGGCUAGACGGAAAGACCCCGUGAACCUUUACUAUAGCUUGACACUGAACAUUGAAUUUUGAUGUGUAGGAUAGGUGGGAGCCUUUGAAGCAGUCACGCCAGUGAUUGUGGAGGCGUCCUUGAAAUACCACCCUUUAACGUUUGAUGUUCUAACGAAGAUUACGAAACGUGGUCUCGGACAGUGUCUGGUGGGUAGUUUGACUGGGGCGGUCUCCUCCCAAAGAGUAACGGAGGAGCACGAAGGUUUGCUAAUGACGGUCGGACAUCGUCAGGUUAGUGCAAUGGUAUAAGCAAGCUUAACUGCGAGACAGACAAGUCGAGCAGGUACGAAAGUAGGUCAUAGUGAUCCGGUGGUUCUGAAUGGAAGGGCCAUCGCUCAACGGAUAAAAGGUACUCCGGGGAUAACAGGCUGAUACCGCCCAAGAGUUCAUAUCGACGGCGGUGUUUGGCACCUCGAUGUCGGCUCAUCACAUCCUGGGGCUGAAGUAGGUCCCAAGGGUAUGGCUGUUCGCCAUUUAAAGUGGUACGCGAGCUGGGUUUAGAACGUCGUGAGACAGUUCGGUCCCUAUCUGCCGUGGGCGUUGGAGAAUUGGUUGGGGCUGCUCCUAGUACGAGAGGACCGGAGUGGACGCACCACUGGUGUUCCGGUUGUGUCGCCAGACGCAUUGCCGGGUAGCUAAGUGCGGAAGAGAUAAGUGCUGAAAGCAUCUAAGCACGAAACUUGCCAAGAGAUGAGUUCUCCCAGAUUUAAAAUCUGUAAGGGUUGUUUAAGACUAAGACGUAGAUAGGCAUGGUGUGUAAGCGGUGCGAGCCGUUGAGCUAACAUGUACUAAUUGCCCGAGAGGCUUAACUAU